This 760-nucleotide long non-coding RNA is filed under the name Nicotiana benthamiana. Its description in RNAcentral is "long non-coding RNA (NBEN_LNC023690)". Lineage: Eukaryota; Viridiplantae; Streptophyta; Magnoliopsida; Solanales; Solanaceae. The record is from RNAcentral.
GUCGGUGUAUAGAUAUGGUGACAGAUACCUAUGCGCCCGAGUCAAGCAUGACCGUGUUGUCAUUUUUGUUAUUAAAAUUGCGAAGGAAGUGAACAAUUGUGAUAAUUUCUUGUUAUAAGAGAUAUGAAGUGGAAGAUGAGAAGUAAAUGAACCAAAGAUGAGUUGUUGUUGCAUCGUUUCCCUUGUCGGUACUUUUUGCUAAAUUGUUUCCCUUGCCGGGACUUGUUGGUGCAUUGUUUCUCCCUUGCCGGGAUGAUUAUUACUGUGAUCAUUGAUUGAGCAUAUAAUAAAUUCUUGUUAUAAAAGCUAUGAAGUGAAAGAUGGGAAGUAAAUGAACCAGAGUUACGUUUGUCCUAAAUAUGACAUAUAUUACUAACCAUUGAAUAGUGACAAAGAUGACAUAAUAACAUAUAGUCUUCAAAAAGAGUCAAUAGGCACUAGGUAGUAUCUGGAUAAAUUUAUGCGCAACAUUCAGAUCUGCAGUUUCACAUUCCUUCUCAAGCCUUAAGUUAUUGUUGUGAUUAGGGUGGUUUGUCGACACCAUUUCUUGAGCCCUUUCCACUACUGUAUUUCAUGUGGAAUGUUCUAUUGCUCCACAUCAAUUGCUGCUAUAUGUCUUCCUUUAGUUAUAUGACUGUCAAGUCUUUUUAGUAAUAGCGGUAUUGUCCAAAACAAUGUGAGUUAAAAGCAUCUAUAUGAAAACUGGCCGUAAACUCCUUGCCUGGUGUGGAUCCCCUUCCUUUAUGAAUUAGCUUUCUGG